CAGCAAAAAAAAUAUCGACCACGGCAGGAUUCGAACCUGCAAUCUUCUGCUCCGUAGGCAGACGCGUUAUCCAUUGCGCCACGCGGCCACAUUUCC
Molecule: transfer RNA, 96 nt
Filed under: Caenorhabditis elegans
Lineage: Eukaryota; Metazoa; Nematoda; Chromadorea; Rhabditida; Rhabditidae
Description: Unclassified non-coding RNA F13G11.145
Source: RNAcentral